Molecule: non-coding RNA, 1861 nt
Organism: Bemisia tabaci
Lineage: Eukaryota; Metazoa; Arthropoda; Insecta; Hemiptera; Aleyrodidae
Source: RefSeq, a predicted model, not a curated record
AGCCGGCAAUGUUGACGUUUUGGCAAUGUUUCAUGGAAAUGUUUCACGCAACAUUUCACAGUAAUAUUUUUCAGCAAUGUGUUGAUAAUGUAUUUGCAACGUUGUCUUAUAACAUUUUCUGACAAUGUUUUAAAAAUAAUUACAAGAAACAUUACAAAAACCUUGCAACGCAACAUACUUGAGUAAUAUUUCAUGAUAAUGUUACGAUAAUAUUUAACGCAAUAUUAUUAAAACGUGAAUAAGUAAUGUUAUUACCAUAUUCAUAAAAAACACUGCAGAAAUAUAAUACAAUAAUUUUUCAAAAACAUAUUUUAAUUUAAAAUUGUAACAAUGUUUAUUAAAUAUGUUUCCAAAUAAUAUUGUAAAUUAACAUUUCAGUAAUGUGUAAGAACUUUAUUACGUAAACGUUUCCAAGUGUCACAGCACGCGUCCAUAAAAAGUUACUCGCUGUCGAACGUAGAUUUUCUUAUUCUAGCCGUGUGGACAUUGGAAGAAGGACCGAUUGUAUAUAAUGUUGCCGCAAAGGCCCUUGAAGGGGCACUGUUUAUGCACCGAUACGGGCAGUCCGAGUCAAUCUUCCUGUAAUGCAGCGACCUUUGGCAGCGACGUAUCAACUCUUUCGAUCUUAUCCUAUUCUCGACGAAGAUUUUUUUCCCUCAGUGAAACAUAUUUUUGAGUCAAAGAAAUUGAGUGUAACUGAAAUGAAGUAUUUUAUUUAAAUUUAGAAAAAAUUGGUCUCAUUGAUGUUUCUUUAGAUGAAAAAAAAAAUAUUAAUUUUAAUUAAAGAAAAUUUCUUUGUCAAGAAAAAAUUAGCCUGUGUGGGUGCCUUUCUUUAGAUUUUCGCGUUUUCGGAUGAUCUGCUCGUGCUUGAAGAAAGUUUUAUCUUUAAAAUAUGGUUUAAUUUAUUUGAAAACGUGAGCCGCGCCGUAACCAUACGAUCAUACGAUUCGGCUUCUUCCGGAACUUUUCGGGUAAGUACGACAGUGUGCUUCGUAGUUUCCCUCCAAAACUCACGACCUAACCUAACCUACAAUUCCGCCGUUUGGUUACUCCGUUAGCCAGCCGUUACCUCGUUGUUACAGCCAGAGACGAUGUUGGUCUAUUUUUCCAGUCUCUCUUCUAAUGCAGCCUCCAAAAUAAAUGUUUUUGAAGGGCUUCCUGCACUCCAGCUUGCUCCCUCUUUCUGGAUUUCUUACAUUCUGGAUUAAGAAAGCGGCUACUAUUCUAUGACAUGGCUGUCAGUUUCUCAUCUGAGCAGUCAUCCGAUAGGAAAUUAGCAGCGACUAAAAAUCAUCUGGUUUUGAGAAAUUCACCAUGAAUCGCCUCAAAGCAACAUCAUCAAAAGAAGUUGAAGUGUGUUCAGAGAAAAUAAACAUAAGUACUUAGCAGCUAUUGUUUUCCUAAAAAUUUUAUGUCUGACCGGAAAUUUUUUAAGAAAUUUGAAGUGGUGUGAAGUUCGAUUAGUUACCUUUAAUAUGCAUUGCUCUAUUCUAAAGGAGAAAAUAAAUGAAAGUGAAAGUGCUGUGUUCAAAGUAUCAUGAUUAGCAUCAUUGGUGUUUUUCUUCAGGUUUUAUUUUUGAUGAAGGAUCAGUUGAAUUUGGUGAGUCAUAUCUAUUAUAUUUUCCUUUUGCAUGCUAUUUUGCCACAGGAAACUGUCAAUAAAUUAAAUGAAAUUACCUAAUGCCCUUGUAAUUGAAUCAAUUCUGCAUUUUUUCCCUUCGGUUUGUUGGCUCCAAGAGUCUGAAGGAUGUAGGUACGAAUUUAUUCUGAGAAAUAAGCCUGAAACGGGUGGUGUAUAUCACCCUGUUAAAUUUCACCAUAAAGUAUUGCAGCUAACAGGCCUCGUUCCGACACUAAAGCU